Odocoileus virginianus texanus is the source of this 2402-nucleotide non-coding RNA. Lineage: Eukaryota; Metazoa; Chordata; Mammalia; Artiodactyla; Cervidae. The record is from RefSeq and is a predicted model, not a curated record.
GUUGAACCGCCGCAGGUGGACGCCCUGAGCCGUUGAGGCCCUCGGACGCCAGUGGAGGAAGAAGGACUCUGAGGCGCAGGUCCACGGUGGCCCCAGCUGCCUUUUGCGACGCCACCACGGGUUUCAGGAACAGUAGAGGUGGUUCGGGUUGGUUAUUCCCAGACCUGGUAGUGCCUCGGUCGAGGGGCUGACUAGGCCGGGCCCUAAUCUGGUCUCGAGGUCUGCGUGCCCCUCGUCCUGGAGAAGCAGAAAUGUAGACGCCAGAAAGAGCCGGUGCUGGCCGUGGGGCCUUUGAAGAAUGUGCAAAAUGUGGAAAUGCCACAUCUCUGAAGGCAACAAUGCUUGGCUGCUUGCCUAAGGAGAGAAGCAGGUUAUGUACCAAACAAAGACGUGCAGAAACAGAAAGAGAACAUGCUAAGGAAAAGGAUUUAGAAAAUUGUACAGUGAUGCCUUGAACUUUGUACGAGUCAGUGGAGUAUGAAUUACACAGACAAGUGUGAUCAAAUAUUUGAUGGAAACUUCCUGAUGCAGAUAACCUGGUAAUGAUGGAAAUGUGGAAAAAACAACUUGCAGGAAGAUUACUACUUCUGUGUCAAGUAUUUUCUGCAUAAAAUACUUGAAUACUUUCAGUUUCAAAAUUGAAGAUUACUCAGAAGCUUCUUGCCAUACAGAAAAAAAAAAUGAUGCUGCAAAGUUUUACCAGUCCUAUUUAUGAUAAAGUGAGAAUAAAACCAGUGAAUGGUAUGUAUAAAGAAAUUUGGUUUGAGAGUGACAGAAGACAUUAUCAACUCACAGGAAGCACAGUAAGAUUUGCAAAUGACUAGAAAAUCUCACAACCUUCCAAACCAGUUCUGGUAAUCCAGAGGACACACAGGUGAAUUGGAGAGUCCACAGAAUCCUGAUUUGCAUGGUGGUGACAAUGUGCUCAGCUAAAAAAUCACGUUGUCCACCCUCCGCCACUGAUAAGGAUGACAGGGUGAUGCAGUUCUUGUCAUGAGGUAUAACUAACGGUAGGGCAGGGUUUCUAGUAAAGUUCCUUAAAAGAGAGCUUUAAGGCGUGGCCUUAGACAUUUGCCCUAUUGCCCUAAUAUCUUCCCCUUCUUUCUACCUGCAUCUUAGAGGAGAUGCUGGGCAUAGAACAGACAUCUAGCAACAAGAUGACCAUAGGAGGAAAGCCAAGCAAAUAACUUGGGGUCACAUCUGAAAAGGCUGGAUUAACAAGCAGAUAGGUGUUAUGUGUGAAUUUGGACAGACUUCAUAAUUUCUGUGCCCUGCCACCACACUUACCACCUUAGGGUUGGGGAGAAAAGUCCUUUUGUCACAACAUAUCCAUAAGGCUCACAUAUCUCUAACAUCAUUUACAGUAAGACUGUGUUGCCAUAAUUUACUCUCACCAUCUGAGACCUAGACUUCUUUUUCCUCUAAAUCCAUUAAAAGUAAUUAUUUGGCCUCUUAAACCCAAGUUCAGAAGAUAACAUUAGUGGGAGGUCUAAGAUCCUCCAGUGGAGUGGUAGCACACAGUUUGAAAGAAGUUCAAUAGAUAGAAAGUUAGUCGAUUUUGAGAAUUAGAUUUUCAAAAGAAGAUUAAUAUCCAUAGGCACUGGGUUUUAAAAUGGUAAUAUAAACAUACCAUGAGGUGGUCCUACAACACAUUACCAGUUUUAAACGUAUAUAUUUGUAUUUUAAGUUUUAUGGAGGUAAAUUACUUUCCUUUUAGAUUCCUAUGUGUUAUCAACCAGCUAUUUGUGUUUCAUAUUUUUAAUAGUGGAACAUUAGAACAGAUUUAAGAUCUCCAAAUAUAAAAAGUUAUUGUGACAACUUAUAAAGUUCCCCCAAAAUUUGUGUAUUAAGAAUUGUAGUUAUAAAAUUGUAUCUAUAAAUGUUUCAGUUUGUAGAAAGAUAAUUUCUGUGUGUACAUGUAUGUUCUCUAGGAAGAUAUUGUAUCAAGUUGUUAGUUUCUUUCUAGAUAAAUAAGAUGAUAGCUUUUUAGUGUUAUCCAAUUUUUCUGUAGUAAGUUUACUUUUUUCAUAAGAACAAUUUUUUUAAGAUAAGGAAAGCUUCCUCAUGAUAGAUAGUUAACAAGAGAAGCAGAAGAAUGUUGCUGAGAAAUGAAGAGCAGGAAGAAAUCAGAAACUGCAGGAACUGAGGGGCAUUUACUUCUGUUGCUGAGACAGCAUAAGAGCUUCGAUGACUGAGAUUGCUGAGGCUCAAGAACUGCUCCUGAGUUGCCGUGGGAUCUGCGUGGCGAGGAGAUGAGCCCUGACUGUAAUGCCAGGGAUGCUCCUUCUUGUCUGUUUUUACUUCUUCAUGUUACCUUCUCCCAUCCCAUGUUAACGUGCCUCUCUGAUCCUUCAAAACUGUACUUUCAUUUAUUCAAUAAACACUAGAAUCCAGAUUAUAUG